RNAcentral lists this ribosomal RNA (775 nucleotides) under Bacillus subtilis. Its description in RNAcentral is "bacterial SSU rRNA". It matches the Rfam family "Bacterial small subunit ribosomal RNA", at positions 69 to 827 of the family's 1533-position model. Lineage: Bacteria; Bacillati; Bacillota; Bacilli; Caryophanales; Bacillaceae. The record is from RNAcentral.
ACAGAUGGGAGCUUGCUCCCUGAUGUUAGCGGCGGACGGGUGAGUAACACGUGGGUAACCUGCCUGUAAGACUGGGAUAACUCCGGGAAACCGGGGCUAAUACCGGAUGGUUGUUUGAACCGCAUGGUUCAAACAUAAAAGGUGGCUUCGGCUACCACUUACAGAUGGACCCGCGGCGCAUUAGCUAGUUGGUGAGGUAACGGCUCACCAAGGCAACGAUGCGUAGCCGACCUGAGAGGGUGAUCGGCCACACUGGGACUGAGACACGGCCCAGACUCCUACGGGAGGCAGCAGUAGGGAAUCUUCCGCAAUGGACGAAAGUCUGACGGAGCAACGCCGCGUGAGUGAUGAAGGUUUUCGGAUCGUAAAGCUCUGUUGUUAGGGAAGAACAAGUACCGUUCGAAUAGGGCGGUACCUUGACGGUACCUAACCAGAAAGCCACGGCUAACUACGUGCCAGCAGCCGCGGUAAUACGUAGGUGGCAAGCGUUGUCCGGAAUUAUUGGGCGUAAAGGGCUCGCAGGCGGUUUCUUAAGUCUGAUGUGAAAGCCCCCGGCUCAACCGGGGAGGGUCAUUGGAAACUGGGGAACUUGAGUGCAGAAGAGGAGAGUGGAAUUCCACGUGUAGCGGUGAAAUGCGUAGAGAUGUGGAGGAACACCAGUGGCGAAGGCGACUCUCUGGUCUGUAACUGACGCUGAGGAGCGAAAGCGUGGGGAGCGAACAGGAUUAGAUACCCUGGUAGUCCACGCCGUAAACGAUGAGUGCUAAGUGUUAGG